This is a long non-coding RNA of Camponotus floridanus (Florida carpenter ant), 669 nucleotides long. RefSeq lists it as uncharacterized. The record is from RefSeq and is a predicted model, not a curated record. NCBI's taxonomy places the organism in Eukaryota, Metazoa, Arthropoda, Insecta, Hymenoptera, Formicidae. The transcript has 3 exons.
GUACAAUAUGGCUGAACAGUGAUGAUCGUUUUCGCGCCUUUUUGUGGUCGAGAGCAGAGAGAUGUCUCUGUCGAGAGACGCCAUGAAUGUCAACUACUGCAUGUUUGCAUACAAAUCUUACGAAAAUAUCGUGGAUUAAUUAGUAUGGAAUAUCCGCACACGAUAGCAAUAUGUCAUACAAUAGUGAUAAUAUAAUAGAGCAGGAGAGAAAACGAUCCAAGAUUACGAAGGAAACGUCUAUCGCAGAUAUUGCGUCUUCUAUUGGUCACAUAACCAAAUCUAUUGAAUCUAUGAGUGCAAACUACAGCGAGAUCUUAAGGAUUAACAAGAAUGUUGUUACAUAUCUACAGAAGGUUGAAGAAUCCGAGAAAGGAAUAAAUCAUAUUGUAGCGGAUACAUCCAUAGAUAAGAGCAAGAGAAGCAAUAAUUAAUGCAACAAUUGUAUUUAUCCCAUAUUGCUUGAGACAUAUUAGUCCCUCACUGCGAUUUAUGGUUUUCUUCUAGGAUCUGAUGGGUCCAAUGGGAUUAUCACAGGCGGCACAUUUUCGGGCCGACGGUUAGAGAAAUUGUAAUUUGAACCUUUCGUGGAUACAAAUCUGUUUAUUGGUCUAGACAACCCUAUUGGUCCACAUCUGGAACAUAUUUACGGUUACAUUGCGAAUAAUUGCA